GCUGGCACAGUGAUGAUAAUUCUUUGCCAUUUACCCAACUGAUUUUUUUGAUGAGUAACAUCGUAUCUGACGUGCCAGC
This is a small nucleolar RNA of Cairina moschata (Muscovy duck), 79 nucleotides long. The record is from Ensembl. Lineage: Eukaryota; Metazoa; Chordata; Aves; Anseriformes; Anatidae.